CUCACCGGAUCCUUGUGGGUAGAGCUGCAAGGUGCUGGAGCAAAUCCUGACUCAUCUGCAGCGGAGAAAACCCUGACCCUCCUCCACAGGUUCCUAAGGGCCACACACACUCACGCACUCUUCAUUCUUUAUCAUCAGGACGGGAAGGAACCAUUCAUCUAUCUACGCCAACUUGUGACCAGCGGCGUGCGAGGAGAAAAAAACGCUCCCUCCACAUCGGCUGUGCUCGGCUGCCCUGUGAUCAGCUCUGACCCAGAGCGAGCGCUCCGUAACAACAGCGGGCUGCAGCUUUGCAUUAGAUUUUGUUUCUUCUCACACGCAGGGAUUUUAAAGGAGAGAAAGAAAAACAUCCUCUGACACCGCCUCCGUCUCCACUUUCACUCAAAAAAAUAGGGCAACAUUUUGCAGCUUUUUAUUUAAAGAAAAAGCUCGGAGACACAGGAGGACAUAAGGGAUACGCUGGUGGGAGGAAUGACAACAAACAAAAAUGACUGAGAAUUAUUUCCGAUCCUGCCACAGUGAGAUAAGGCGUGAUCUCGGGCCAUGUAAUGAGCUGAUGUGGAAUUAGCUUAGAAGGACUAACCACUCAAUGGGGGAGACAACAAUAAGCACUGCGACAACGACGAAGCUAUUGCAACACGGAUUACAUUACAUAUACAUAGAUCAAACCAGUCCUCCACACACUAACUUCAUGUCUAUGAGAGUGAGCCAAAUAGUCUUAAACAGAAAGAACCCGUGGUCAUCUGAUGGUGUCAGAAACCGUGACGAAGACAGUCAGCCAGGGAAUAAUCAGCCUAAGACAAUGUGAAAUUUUGGUAAAUGAGGAAGUGGGAACAAUAUUUGUAUUUAAUAUUUUUACUAUUUGGCAGAGAGUAUACACAGUGGGGGAAACAAAGGCAGUGAAGAGAGCUGCUGAAUGAAUUGUCAGAAAGUUGACUACAUUAUAAUGUACAAGGAUAGAAAAGGUUUCUUGCAUUGCAUUGCAAUUAAGGGCUUUCACACCUACUAUGUCUCGUUUGGUCUGGACCGUGAAGACUUUUAAUUUUUACUCUGAAUCAAAAUAACGGCGGUGAAAGUUGCCCCCACUUGAUUUAUAACGUCAGUAAACACUUCCCUGAGGGGUUUAUGGUCUCAAUCUCAAAGUUCAAGUCUUCUUCAAUGCAGCAGGAUGUUCAUUUAGUCAAGUAUGGUCUCAUUUAGAGUAAUAUAGGAGACAAAGCGUGGUAUGCAUGGGGGCGGGGAUACCGUGUGAUUGACGAGCUCUCAGUCAGACCCAGCCCACGAUCUUCCAAAUAUGUUUACAUCCAGUAUCAAAAACCCAAGAUGGCGCUGGUCGAAACACUAAACCUGAGGCUUCAAAACGGCUGCUCACAACUUGGUUAGGACCUUCGCCCGGACUCUCAGGUGUGAAAACGCCCUAGAUGACAUAAUAAUCUCUGUCAAGCUGUACUUGAGUGAGGACUGAGUUGUAAGUGAAAUAUAUGCAGUGAGACAUUCGAGCUUUGUUCAUGCUGAAGGCCACGAUGAAGCCCAACAGAACAGCAGAACAGAGGCCACCGACUUGGAUUAUAGAUAACCAUGAUAUGCCAAAACUUCCAAGAAGCCACUGCAGACAAGGGAGGAUGGAAUUUGUAUGAUCUUGGCUCCUUUGUCCUGCUUGGGGAUUUAAAGGUGAAGAUAAGAACAGGCUGCAGGGAGAGCUUAGGAAAUGAAUUCAGGAGGUCUUGUUUUGAAAUUGUUCAACAGUCCAAGCUGAUGUGUAACUUUCAAGCACAAGAUUUUAAAACUAGACAAUGAGGUAUUGCACACACUGGGUUUGCAUUUACAAAAUGCUCCAGAUACCUGCUUGUCGCUGAAUCAAGGUCUAUUCGCAUUUUAAAAAUAAAAUAAUGGAAAAUAUGACGGGCCCCUUAACAUUCUAAUUAUAACAGUUACAAACACUAAAGUAAACGAGCACAUAUAAACAUAAAGGUAUGACUAAUGUGCUGCGAUGCGAUGUGGAAAGACAGAUUAUCAUCUGAGGCCACAAAGCAGCGUUGGUGAACGCAGCUCCUCCAGCACGACACGGCUGCGGGGCACGUUGUCAGAUUAUCCCCGGGUCAUGACGAAGACACACGGUGACGUACAGCUCGGGAACAUUCACAGACUGUGUGCUGGUGUUGUAAAGACACAAGGUUACUGUAUAUGACCAGCAAAUAGUAACUGUUUCCGGAUUGAAUCAUUGUUUUUGCCCAUCAUUCUCUUUUCUCAUUUGCAGUUAUUAAGUUAUUAAGUUUUGAAAUAAAGAACAUUUUUAGGCAAAUAUGAGAAUUAAAAAUGUUCAGUGGCCA
Molecule: long non-coding RNA, 2330 nt
Organism: Scophthalmus maximus (turbot)
Lineage: Eukaryota; Metazoa; Chordata; Actinopteri; Pleuronectiformes; Scophthalmidae
Exons: 2
Source: RefSeq, a predicted model, not a curated record